AUAAUAUAUCGCAUAUUGCCGAAGACAGCAGGUGCCGUAAGGCGUAACCGUUUGGCCUGCCGAGGAGUUUAUUUCAGAAGUGAACGUGAUAAUAAGCCUCUCUGUCUUUGCAGAGAGGCUUAUUAUUGUUUAGA
Eubacterium plexicaudatum ASF492 is the source of this 134-nucleotide non-coding RNA. Lineage: Bacteria; Bacillati; Bacillota; Clostridia; Eubacteriales; Eubacteriaceae. The record is from Rfam.